CAGUAGCCGCGGGAAUACGAAGGGGGCUAGCGUUGCUCGGAAUGACUGGGCGUAAAGGGCGCGUAGGCGGUUUAUACAGUCAGAUGUGAAAUUCCUGGGCUCAACCUGGGGACUGCACUUGAUACGUAUGGACUUGAGUGGAGAAGAGGGUCGUGGAAUUUCCAGUGUAGAGGUGAAAUUCGUAGAUAUUGGAAAGAACACCGGUGGCGAAGGCGGCGACCUGGUCUUUAACUGACGCUGAGGCGCGAAAGCGUGGGGAGCAAACAGGAUUAGAUACCCCUGUAGUCCCUGUCUCUUAUAC
This 301-nucleotide ribosomal RNA is filed under the name uncultured bacterium. RNAcentral's name for it is "partial 16S ribosomal RNA". It matches the Rfam family "Bacterial small subunit ribosomal RNA", at positions 509 to 807 of the family's 1533-position model. The record is from RNAcentral.